UCGUAUAAAAUGGUAGCGCACAUCUAUGU
Molecule: non-coding RNA, 29 nt
Filed under: Bombyx mori (domestic silkworm)
Lineage: Eukaryota; Metazoa; Arthropoda; Insecta; Lepidoptera; Bombycidae
Source: RNAcentral